Molecule: ribosomal RNA, 1947 nt
Filed under: Pseudomonas sp. URMO17WK12:I4
Lineage: Bacteria; Pseudomonadati; Pseudomonadota; Gammaproteobacteria; Pseudomonadales; Pseudomonadaceae
Description: bacterial LSU rRNA
Rfam family: Bacterial large subunit ribosomal RNA
Source: RNAcentral
GCUAACGUCCGUCGUGAAAAGGGAAACAACCCAGACCGUCAGCUAAGGUCCCAAAGUUAUGGUUAAGUGGGAAACGAUGUGGGAAGGCUUAGACAGCUAGGAGGUUGGCUUAGAAGCAGCCAUCCUUUAAAGAAAGCGUAAUAGCUCACUAGUCGAGUCGGCCUGCGCGGAAGAUGUAACGGGGCUCAAACCAUACACCGAAGCUACGGGUUCAACGUAAGUUGAGCGGUAGAGGAGCGUUCUGUAAGCCUGUGAAGGUGAGUUGAGAAGCUUGCUGGAGGUAUCAGAAGUGCGAAUGCUGACAUGAGUAACGACAAUGCGAGUGAAAAACUCGCACGCCGAAAGACCAAGGUUUCCUGCGCAACGUUAAUCGACGCAGGGUGAGUCGGCCCCUAAGGCGAGGCAGAAAUGCGUAGUCGAUGGGAAACGGGUUAAUAUUCCCGUACUUCUAAUUACUGCGAUGGAGGGACGGAGAAGGCUAGGCCAGCACGGCGUUGGUUGUCCGUGUUUAAGGUGGUAGGCUGGUUUCUUAGGUAAAUCCGGGAAAUCAAGGCCGAGAGCUGAUGACGAGUUGUCCUUUAGGACGAUGAAGUGGUUGAUGCCAUGCUUCCAGGAAAAGCUUCUAAGCUUCAGGUAAUUAGGAACCGUACCCCAAACCGACACAGGUGGUUAGGUAGAGAAUACCAAGGCGCUUGAGAGAACUCGGGUGAAGGAACUAGGCAAAAUGGCACCGUAACUUCGGGAGAAGGUGCGCCGGUGAGUGUGAAGGGUUUACCCCGUAAGCACAUGCCGGUCGAAGAUACCAGGCCGCUGCGACUGUUUAUUAAAAACACAGCACUCUGCAAACACGAAAGUGGACGUAUAGGGUGUGACGCCUGCCCGGUGCCGGAAGGUUAAUUGAUGGGGUUAGCUAACGCGAAGCUCUUGAUCGAAGCCCCGGUAAACGGCGGCCGUAACUAUAACGGUCCUAAGGUAGCGAAAUUCCUUGUCGGGUAAGUUCCGACCUGCACGAAUGGCGUAACGAUGGCGGCGCUGUCUCCACCCGAGACUCAGUGAAAUUGAAAUCGCUGUGAAGAUGCAGUGUAUCCGCGGCUAGACGGAAAGACCCCGUGAACCUUUACUAUAGCUUUGCACUGGACUUUGAGCUUGCUUGUGUAGGAUAGGUGGGAGGCUUUGAAGUGGGGACGCCAGUUCUCAUGGAGCCAUCCUUGAAAUACCACCCUGGCAACCUUGAGGUUCUAACUCUGGUCCGUUAUCCGGAUCGAGGACAGUGUAUGGUGGGUAGUUUGACUGGGGCGGUCUCCUCCUAAAGAGUAACGGAGGAGUACGAAGGUGCGCUCAGACCGGUCGGAAAUCGGUCGCAGAGUAUAAAGGCAAAAGCGCGCUUGACUGCGAGACAGACACGUCGAGCAGGUACGAAAGUAGGUCUUAGUGAUCCGGUGGUUCUGUAUGGAAGGGCCAUCGCUCAACGGAUAAAAGGUACUCCGGGGAUAACAGGCUGAUACCGCCCAAGAGUUCAUAUCGACGGCGGUGUUUGGCACCUCGAUGUCGGCUCAUCACAUCCUGGGGCUGAAGCCGGUCCCAAGGGUAUGGCUGUUCGCCAUUUAAAGUGGUACGCGAGCUGGGUUUAGAACGUCGUGAGACAGUUCGGUCCCUAUCUGCCGUGGACGUUUGAGAUUUGAGAGGGGCUGCUCCUAGUACGAGAGGACCGGAGUGGACGAACCUCUGGUGUUCCGGUUGUCACGCCAGUGGCAUUGCCGGGUAGCUAUGUUCGGGAAAGAUAACCGCUGAAAGCAUCUAAGCGGGAAACUUGCCUCAAGAUGAGAUCUCACUGGAACCUUGAGUUCCCUAAAGGGCCGUCGAAGACUACGACGUUGAUAGGCUGGGUGUGUAAGCGUUGUGAGGCGUUGAGCUAACCAGUACUAAUUGCCCGUGAGGCUUGACCAU